GAUGAAGAACGCAGCGAAAUGCGAUAAGUAAUGUGAAUUGCAGAAUUCAGUGAAUCAUCGAAUCUUUGAACGCACCUUGCGCCCUUUGGCUAUUCCAGAGGGCAUGCCUGUUUGAGUAUCAUGAACACCUCAACUCUCAUGGUUCUGCCAUGAUGAGCUUGGACUUUGGAGGUCUUGCUGGCCCCUGUGGUCAGCUCCUCUCAAAUGGAUCAGCUUGCCAGUGUUUGGUGGCAUCACAGGUGUGAUAACUAUCUACGCUUGUGGUUUUCCACCAGGUAACCUUCAGUGAUGGAGGUUCGCUGGAGCUCAUAAACGUCUCUCCUCAGCGAGGACAGCUUCUUGAACGUUUGAUCUCAAAUCAGGUAGGGCUACCCGCUGAACUUAAGCAUAUCAAUAACGGAGGA
Molecule: unclassified non-coding RNA, 404 nt
Filed under: soil metagenome
Description: partial contains 5.8S ribosomal RNA, internal transcribed spacer 2, and large subunit ribosomal RNA
Rfam family: 5.8S ribosomal RNA (bases 1-121)
Source: RNAcentral